This 252-nucleotide ribosomal RNA is filed under the name uncultured bacterium. RNAcentral's name for it is "partial 16S ribosomal RNA". It matches the Rfam family "Bacterial small subunit ribosomal RNA", at positions 524 to 776 of the family's 1533-position model. The record is from RNAcentral.
UACGAAGGGGGCGAGCGUUGUUCGGAAUUACUGGGCGUAAAGGCGCGUAGGCGGCGAACCAAGUCAGAUGUGAAAGUCCUGGGCUUAACCUGGGGACUGCAUUUGAUACUGGUUUGCUUGAAUUCGGGAGAGGAUAGCGGAAUUCCCAGUGUAGAGGUGAAAUUCGUAGAUAUUGGGAAGAACACCGGUGGCGAAGGCGGCUAUCUGGACCGACAUUGACGCUGAGGCGCGAAAGCGUGGGGAGCAAACAGG